This 1504-nucleotide ribosomal RNA is filed under the name metagenome. RNAcentral describes it as "bacterial LSU rRNA". It matches the Rfam family "Bacterial large subunit ribosomal RNA", at positions 1278 to 2910 of the family's 2925-position model. The record is from RNAcentral.
GAGAUCAGAAGCGAGAAUGUUGACAUGAGUAGCGACAAACAGGGUGAGAAACCCUGUCGCCGAAAGUCCAAGGGUUCCUGCUUAAAGCUAAUCUGAGCAGGGUAAGCCGGCCCCUAAGGCGAGGCCGAAAGGCGUAGUCGAUGGGAACCAGGUUAAUAUUCCUGGGCCAGUGGGAUGUGACGGAUCGCGGAUGUAGUUUGCCCUUAUCGGAUUGGGUGGGCUGCUGAGCGGUUCCAGGAAAUAGCCCCACACCAGACCGUACCCUAAACCGACACAGGUGGACUGGUAGAGUAUACCAAGGCGCUUGAGAGAACCACGUUAAAGGAACUCGGCAAAAUGCCUCCGUAAGUUCGCGAGAAGGAGGCCCCAUAUGUACGCAAGUAUGUGUGGGGGGCACAAACUAGGGGGUGGCGACUGUUUACUUAAAACGCAGGGCUGUGCGAAGCCGUAAGGCGACGUAUACAGUCUGACGCCUGCCCGGUGCUGGAAGAUUAAGAGGAGGGGUGCAAGCUCUGAAUUGAAGUCCCAGUAAACGGCGGCCGUAACUAUAACGGUCCUAAGGUAGCGAAAUUCCUUGUCGGGUAAGUUCCGACCUGCACGAAUGGCGUAACGAUCUCCUCGCUGUCUCUAACGUGGACUCAGCGAAAUUGAACUGUGUGUCAAGAUGCACACUACCCGCGGUUAGACGGAAAGACCCCAUGAACCUUUACUCCAGCUUUGCACUGGUAUCAGGAUUGUGAUGUGCAGGAUAGGUGGUAGGCAUUGAAGCGGGGACGCCAGUCUUCGUGGAGCCUCCCUUGAGAUACCACCCUUCGCCAUCUUGAUAUCUAACCGCGGCCCGUUAUCCGGGUCCGGGACCCUGCAUGGUGGGGAGUUUGACUGGGGCGGUCGCCUCCCAAACAGUAACGGAGGCGCGCGAUGGUUGGCUCAGACCGGUCGGAAAUCGGUCGUUGAGUGCAAUGGCAGAAGCCAGCCUGACUGCAAGACUGACAAGUCGAGCAGAGACGAAAGUCGGUCAUAGUGAUCCGGUGGUCCCAAGUGGGAGGGCCAUCGCUCAACGGAUAAAAGGUACUCUGGGGAUAACAGGCUGAUGAUGCCCAAGAGUCCAUAUCGACGGCAUCGUUUGGCACCUCGAUGUCGGCUCAUCUCAUCCUGGGGCUGGAGCAGGUCCCAAGGGUAUGGCUGUUCGCCAUUUAAAGAGGUACGUGAGCUGGGUUUAGAACGUCGUGAUACAGUUCGGUCCCUAUCUGCCGUGGGUGCAGGAGACUUGAGAAGAGUUGACCCUAGUACGAGAGGACCGGGUUGAACGAACCACUGGUGGACCAGUUAUCGUGCCAACGGUAGUGCUGGGUAGCUAUGUUCGGACAGGAUAACCACUGAAGGCAUCUAAGCGGGAAGCCCCCUUCAAAACAAGGUCUCCCUUGAGGGCCGUGGAAGACGACCACGUCGAUAGGCCAGAGGUGUAAGUGCAGCAAUGCAUUCAGCUGACUGGUACUAAUUGCCC